UCGUAAAACAGAGGCACGAGGGCUGUCGCUGACUUUUUGUCGUGCACGCCCAAGUGCUCUCUCACAAUCCAUCUCACCCCUUUGUGCACCACCGCGUGGGUCCCUUCUUGGCUUGUUACAAGGGGGGCUCGCGUUUUCACACAAACUCAAAAGUAGUGUAGAAUGUCUUUUUUUGCGAUGACACGCAAUCAAUA
RNAcentral lists this unclassified non-coding RNA (194 nucleotides) under uncultured Russula. RNAcentral describes it as "sequence contains ITS1". The record is from RNAcentral. Lineage: Eukaryota; Fungi; Basidiomycota; Agaricomycetes; Russulales; Russulaceae.